This is a non-coding RNA of Podarcis lilfordi (Lilford's wall lizard), 4691 nucleotides long. Lineage: Eukaryota; Metazoa; Chordata; Lepidosauria; Squamata; Lacertidae. The record is from the annotation of a GenBank genome assembly.
AGAGAGAGGAGGGAGCCUGAGGAGAUUCGAGAGAGGGAAGGAAGGGAAAUGAAAUGUCUACGGAGGGCUAUGGAGGAGAGAGUAGCCUCCAUCCUCUGCCCUGUCUCCCUCAGCGGCCAGGGAGUGCAACAGAGCUAGGGGUUGAGACUGUGUGGAGCCAGAAACAAGUCUGAGAGAGACUUUUAAUGGCUCACGUUUGACUUAGCUACAUUAUUGCAGCCCGUCCACAUCUGUUGCUUCAAGACUUCCCAGGCUUGGGGGGGACCAGGGGGAUUUUUUUACAUGAAAUAUCCAGGUUUUUGUGGUUGGUUGGUUUAUUUUAUCAUUAUUAUUUACAUUUUGGGGCUGUGCCAAAGCGGAAGGGUGGGCUGGAUCCUUUUGGGUAAGGGAUCAGGCAGACAGUGGACGACAACCCCCCCCCAAAAAAAAGCUCCACAUUUUUUUGUGUCUGGAUUAUUUAUACUUCUUGAAAUAUGGCAACCCUAUUUAAUGUGAUAAAUUAUAUAUAUAUAUAUAAUGCAUUCCUCUUGCUUCCUAUCCUCUUUUUCCCUUCCCCAAUUGAAUAAAUCCUGGUUCACAUCUCCCUCUGAAGGGUUUUGCAAACCCUGUUAGGAGCUUGGAAGCAAAGCUCUGUGGAGGAAGAGCAGUAGAAUUUGUUGCCCUCUCUUCUCCCCUUUAAUGUUUGUUUGUUUGAAGUCAUUUCUGCACCAGGUAAAGUAAUUUUAAGCCCUCAAUCACCCCCCCCUCACCAACCUGUCCUUUAUUUUGCCUGCCAAAUAAAGCACUAAAAGGCAAAACAGAUAUUUAGAGCUCCAUGGAUUACUGUUGCCUAGUGUCCGAAAUAAACACUCAUCAGUAGCACCUCUGAAUUCACUCAUUGGUUAAAGACAGUGAAAGGCAAGGUGAAGGGGUGAAGCAAGGCUGCAUCCUGGCUCCCACUUUUUAAAAACUUUGAUAGUAAUGAUUUGGUAGUGGCGCCCUCCCUGUGGAACCCCCUCCCUUCAGAUGUCUGGGAAAUAAACAACUAUCUGACUUUUAAAAGACAUCUGAAGGCGGCCCUGUUCAGGGAGGUUUUUAAUGUUUGAUGUUUCAUCGCUUUUUAUCAUUAUUAUUAAUAUUCUGUUGGGAGCUGCCCAGAGUGACUGGGGAAACCCAGCCAGAUGGGCAAGGUAUUAAUAAACAAAGAUGGUGAUGAUGAUGAAGAAGAAAAUUUCACCUCUCCAGUAAUUAGGAAUAGAAAGAUCAAAGUCUUGAUGUAGACAGAUGAGUUAGUGCUCCUCUCCCUUUCCCGGCUGGACCUCAAAAAACUCUUGAAAGUGAUCAGCACAUACUGUAAACAGGAAAAGGUAUCUAUAACUUACUCUAAGACCAAGAUUGUGAUUUUUAGCAAACACAGCCCUAGAUUUAAAUGGUGCAAGCUAUAGGACAGACUUGCUCACUUAGAUAUCUGGGUGCUUGGAAUUGUCAUAUUUAGGCAAUGAAAGUCAAAGCACAUAAAACUAUAGGGGCACUGAGGAAGUUCUAUUACAGGGCGGCAGAAGGCUAAAAGGGAAAAAACCGAGCCAACGCUCAGCAGGAGCGGCGCACGCACCCUCGCUUGACGCAGUGGCGCAUGCACCCAGGCGCCUGGCUUUGCUCAGUUGCUGCCUCGUGCUCUGUUCUGCUGUGAGGCGGCUGGCCCUAUGUGAAGAGGGAGGCGGGCAAUGGCAAAGAAGAAGAGAGGCGCCCCCAAUUCGCCCACUUUCUUCCUCCUCUACCUGGGCUGCAAAGGUUUUUGAGAUCAAUGCAAGCUAAAAAGCAUUGCAGGGGGGUUGGGCUAGAUGACCCGCAGGGUCCCUUCCAAUUCUACGUUUUUCUGAAAAACACACAUGCAAAACCCAACUAUGGUCCCUCUGCAGUCCUCGCCCCAAGCAACUGUGUGUGAGCCUUGCUCCCCAGAAAGUGUGCCUUGUCUUGCUACCUGUGGUUUUUGGUCUCUCGUCCGUCCCUCCCCCCCAAUCUAUUCAUAUUCCUUUCUCCCUAAUCACCAAUAUUACAUUUUCCCCUGGUUGAGACUUAAAACAGAAAGCCCUAAUUCCCAGCUGUGUUUCUUGCUGCAGUCCUACUGUCUACGCAGAAGUAAGGUCCUAUUAGAUUCAGCAGGGCUUACUCUUAGGUAAAUGCAGUCAGGGCUGCAGCCUUUGUGACCCAUGUUUUGGGUCCUUUUUAGGUUCAGGAUGUCACUGUUUUACACCCACACCCACCCCCCACAAUAUUUGAAGACGUCAGCUUUGUACUUAAACACAAAUUGGCUGGGAACUUCAUUGUCUGUGUCUUUAUUAAUUUAUUUAAAGACCAGCAAACUGGUGGCUGCUUUAACUUUUUGAUAUGUGGUGAUUUGAAUCAUGAGGAUGAAUUAGAAGAACUGGUGUCUUGAAUCAGUCUUGCUUUGGAAUUGAGGACUUUACUAGAUUUUCUUCUGCCUUUUCAUUUUAUUUUGUUCUAAGGGCUUGUCAGAGAUUAAAAAAAAGGUCAACUACUCUGGGGAAAAUUUUCUUAAAAAGGUCAACAACUUUGGGGUUUCCCCCCUUAAAAAGGGAAAUGGGGGGGGGGGUGCCGGAGGGAUCUUUGCACCAUGGCGCCUGAUAUGCUUAAGACGGCCCUGCUCAGGAGCCCAGUUAUGUCACCCCUUGCCUGCAGAGCUAGCAGCUUCUCACCCUUUUUCAAACACCCUCCCUUGUGAAAUCUUCCCUCAGACUCCUCUCUUCUCCCCUCUCUGUUGGAGUCCUCUGUGAAGCCGCUGCUGCACCCCAGUCUUUGAGCUGCCCCCCUGCCCCAAAGAGAGGUGCCCCCUCACACUGCCCCACAGGAGCCUAGGAAACACCCCCUGGGCUGCUCCAGAGGCACCAUUCGCCUGGGGAGCUUGUAGCCAGGGCUGCUGGAACAAACAGCUGCCAAGCCUUUGGGGGGCAGAGACGCGAGAGGGCAUCAGAGGAGUGAGGUAAGGAAGAGGGAUAGAGGCCAGUGUUGCCCACAGCACCCCUGACCAUCGUUCAAGGCACCCCAGGGUGCCAUGGCACACUGGUUGAAAACCACUGCUCUAUGGUGUUGAAAUCUGGGGCUAUGAUUCGAACUCCAUUAAAGUUACAGAACUUUGAAGGUGCCACACCAUUCAAUUCUCAUGCAGUUCCACCUCAAUUUAGUAAUCUCAGCUUCUACUGUGUGGCAUAUAAUGCAAGAAAUUACUGCCCAAGUACUUUCAUUGAUGUUUGUGCUAUAAUUACAGGCUUGCUUAUGCAAAACCAUGUUUUUCUUUAAAGAGAGAUACUGCCCAGUUGCUUUUCUAGUACCAUCAGUAUGCAUAGUUUUGUUUAUUUAUUAUUUACAGAAUGUGGAGCCCAACCCCCAUCACUAAUUAUCUCUGCGCACAACACAACAAUUUAAACUGCCAUUACCAACGAAGACCAAAAGUAAAAUGCAGCUAAGAUAAUGCUCACCAAUCUACCUGUUAAAUAUUAUAAAGAGCAUGGCUACAUUGCCCCAUGCAUAACAUACAUAUGCACAACCAGUCCAGAAGACAUGGCAGAAAGUUGCAAGAGGACAGCCCCAAGGGGUAUGCAAUCUAAGCUUUAACAUGGGUAACAACAGAGGAAGGGUACAUAGGAAGCAAUGUGUAGUUGUUUCAGUUACUCAUCUUAGGUUCUGUUACGGAUAAGGAUAGGUAGAUACAAACAUAAUUUCACAUUAUGGUUCUUGCCAGCUCUUGUUGCAAGUCUUCUCCUUCACCAUGAAAGUACCCAGCUGCAUAGAUACAACUGUACAUUUCAAAAUUAAACCAUCCUAAAAGAUGUUUAUGGGGUAGAAGGACUAUUUCAUUUGAGAGGUAGGAAGUGAAAUGAAUAUAUUGGUGGAACAGCUGAAUGCUUGAGAGGAUUUCAUUGUCAGUUGAAUUCCUUGGCAGACACGGUACUGAGGCAGCAGUGACCCCUGCCACCUCAUUUAGCUCAUGUAUGUUCACACCAAAAACUUUGCUUUAAUUUUAAAAUUUGUCCAGUUAUGUAAGGCCAAUAAUCUCUGGUUAAGAUAAGCCACUAUUGCCUCUUCAAAGUAUAAUGAAAGAUGUGUUGGGCAGAGCUCCAAUCAUGUUCACUUCACAAAGAUUAUUUUUUUAAAAAAAAAUUUCUGUCCUAGGCUUUUAGGACAUUGUACCUGAUAGAUAUAUAAUGGUGUAGCUGUAAAUAUGGCAACCACAUGGAGACGUUUUCAGAGUAGGGAGGUUUGGAGUUGCAAGGAAACCAACCUUGUAAAGUGUAAAAACUGCUCCACCCACUGGUGUGAACAGACAGCAUUCAAUGUGGAAACAUAUAAAAGUGUACCAAUGUAUAUAAUAUGGAGCAAUUUUUAUUGUGCUGUGGGGUAUGUGUGUGUGAGAGAGAGAGACCUUGCAACAUUUCAAGUGUACGAAACCACUGUCUUUUAACCUAAACAACCUCACAGGGUUGUUUGUGGAUAAAAUGGGAAGAGGGGAGAACCAUGUACGGCAGCUUGAGUUACUUAGGGGGAAAUGGGAUAUAAAUGUAAUAAUAAAUAAAUAAUAAAAUAGCUAACCAAUACAACAAAUGCCAGUUGAAGCCGUAGAAGUAUAGAUUGACAAGAAAAUAUGGACUGUAGAAACAUACAGAUACAUUUCUACAAUACGGUGUGGUAGCAUG